AUACGGAGGUUGCUAACGUUGUUCGGAAUUACUGGGCGUAAAGCGCGUGUAGGCGGCUUAGCAAGUCAGAUGUGAAAGCCCUCGGCUCAACCGAGGAAGUGCAUUUGAAACUGCUAGGAUAGAGUACGGGAGAGGGUUGUAGAAUUCCAGGUGUAGAGGUGAAAUUCGUAGAUAUCUGGAGGAAUACCGGUGGCGAAGGCGGCAACCUGGACCGAUACUGACGCUGAGACGCGAAAGCGUGGGGAGCAAACAGGAUUAGAAACCCCUGUAGUCC
Molecule: ribosomal RNA, 274 nt
Filed under: uncultured bacterium
Lineage: Bacteria
Description: partial 16S ribosomal RNA
Rfam family: Bacterial small subunit ribosomal RNA
Source: RNAcentral